This 1611-nucleotide long non-coding RNA is filed under the name Marmota monax (woodchuck). Lineage: Eukaryota; Metazoa; Chordata; Mammalia; Rodentia; Sciuridae. The record is from RNAcentral.
UGUUGAGGUAAAAGUAUUUCUUUUUAGAGUUAAGCUGCUUAAGACUACAAAAGCAGGUUUUAUGUAAUGUAACUUAGUAUAUAAAUAGCCAAAAGAAUGGGUAUAGACUAAGUAUAUCUUCCUUAAAUAUAUUUUUGCAGGUCUUUUUUUUUAGUAGAAUUUUUUAUAACACUUUGUUUUAGGUUAAAAUUUUUAGUAAAACUCCAAAGAUGUGUUUUGCUGUAUAAAUGAGUAUAUAAUAUUCUUAAUGCUCAAUAUGCAGAUUGUGUCUUAGACUUUCUUUUCAACUCUGUCCUCUUUGUAAAGGACCAACUAAAAUAUUACAUGUAAAAAAUGCUUCUCAACAGAUUAAUCAUGGGUAGGUAAUUUUUAAGGCCUAAUAUCUGAUAGACUGUCACACAUUUUGUUGAAUAUUCUGUUUGGGCCAUCCUUAUUCCAGCUCCAUAUCAACUGACUUUCUAUGUAAGUCCAGGAAUGAAUACAGCAAAUAUUCCUUUCUGAACAAUCUCUGUAAUACUCAUAGUAUUACUACAUUUGCAAGUAAAACAACAUUUGAAGAUAUUUAGUAUUUCUUGACAUGUUACUAUGAAUCUUGAGAUAGGCAAUCUUUUAACCUAUCUGAUCAAUGUUAGUUGUGAGAAAGGUGUUUUGUUUUUUUCUCAUUGUUGGCACAUCUUAUUCUCUGUAAUCCACUCAUAGGUUUUCAUUCUUAUCUUUCUUCUUACCCCUAUUCUUUCUUCUUUCCUCCAUCACUUAGCUCCUUUGUUUGUUCUUUCUUCCUUUCAUCAUGCAAUUAUUUAUUUCAUAUUAAACUCAGGAAGUAAUCAAAUCAUUUACUAUAUACCAGGUAAAUAUCUGACCUGAAUGAAAAAUGUCUCACUCACAGCAGCCUGGUAUAGGUGGAAAAGUUUGGCUGUGUGUAGGAUAGUUCAUAGGUAGUGUUGUAAGAUUAUAUAUUCAUAGUUCUUUGGAGCCAAAAGUUUAUGAAUAAGUUUAUUCUCACAUUGGAGAAAGAACAAAAUUAAUAUUAUGAUGUGGAAGGAAUAAUAGUAAAAAAAACAAAUAAACCUAUAUGAAAAAAUAAAGAUCACUGGCUUUAUUCUGCCUAAAAGUCAUGGUCACUGACAUAAUAUGAAGGAUGAACAGAAGAUGUGCAUUGGUGAUGAAUUUCCUGACAUAUGUGUGGAGAAUAAAUGGACAAGUGACUGUGGAGGCUUGAAGGCCAUCUGGGAACUUAUUUGUGAAAAAAUCCAAAAUAAAUAAUUCAAAUCUAUAAAACUCAGAGAUUAUUGAAUGUAGAAAAUGGCUGAAGGAGAAAUGCCUUAUGUUUUAAAUUUCUGGUGCAGGAGACUAAAUGGAUGGAGUCAUCAUUUAAACAACUCAGAAAAAUAGUGAGAAGGAAAACUUGAGUUCAUAAUGAUGUGUUCACACUUGUUAAUCAUUGUGAGACAUACACCUAACUGAGCAUUUCUUUUAUAUACCGUGCUUUAUUCAAUUCUGUUUGUAUGUAUGUCCCAGAAUGGCAGAUUGGCAUGGGAAUAGAGGUUAAGAUUCUGAAGACAGACUGCCUGAGUUUGAAUCAUGGCUUAAAGUUUAUAGCUUGUAUGAAGG